Molecule: unclassified non-coding RNA, 2836 nt
Filed under: Leishmania donovani
Lineage: Eukaryota; Euglenozoa; Kinetoplastea; Trypanosomatida; Trypanosomatidae
Description: gene:LdHU3.12.0520(CDS-product:hypothetical_prote in_conserved)
Source: RNAcentral
GCUGUAUGUUCCCCCGUCUCCCCUUCUCUCGCCCACAUCGCCACCCGUUGCCCAACGAAAAGCGCCCAAUUCUAAUUCUUUCCUGAUAGUGUUCACUUCCCGUCUAUCCCGCUCGCCACCGCCGCCCUCCUCCUCGCUCUCUCAGCGUGUGGGUCUCUGUGUUGCCCAAUUGGAAGCCUACUCCGCGGUGCAGUGUCCCCUAUCUCUCUGUGGGUGGCACCCUCCCCACUCCCCCCCCCUCUCGUCCUCGGCCCCCUCCUCAUACUUCUAUACGCUGUGUCAAGGGGCGACAGACAUGGUUUCCAUGAUCGUCGCUGGCGCCACUGGCGCCAUCGGCCGCACCGUCGUGCAGUAUGCCAUUCAGCAGCCGUCAAUCGACCGCGUUGUGGCGCUGACGCGGUUCAGAAACACCGCUGUGUCGAACUACGAGCAUCUCUUCGGUAUUAUCGUCGCAGGUGAAGCAGGCAACACCGACAGCCGCGGCGAGGGCGCCAACAGCAAGAGGGAAAAGGGUAGGAAGUUUCCCGCUGGCACCGUCACAGCCACGCCCGCGGAGGCUGCCAAGAUCAGGCCUAUUACCAUGGACUGGGAAGAGUUCACGCAGCUGUGGGUGGCGAAGCGCAGCAGCACCUGCGCUGCCGCUAGCGGAGCUGAUAACCGUGCCGCGGGCGCUGCGGCCACUGCCAUCACAGAUCCCAUGGAAAGGUACAGAGGCAUCUUCGGUGGUCACACGUACGCCGCCAUGUGUCUCGGCACCACCCGCAAGGACGCUGGGAGCGCCAAGAGCUUCACUCGGUGCGACUAUGACUACGUGAUGGCCUUCACGGAGGCUGUGCUGGCGUACUCGGCGCCGGCUGGCCUGUCACCAGACAAGACAUUUGUACACCAUAUCGGUGACGGGGGGGUCUCGAAGCAAGUGCACGUGCAGGAAGGCAUGGGCAAGGAGGUCGACGUGCUCGCUGCCAUGAACGACAACGCGGCCCAGUCGUCGGGCACGCUUCGCGUCUUCUGCCAGGUCAGCUCCAGCAACGCCAGCAGCAGCUCAUGGUUCCUUUACAUGAAGACAAAGGGCAUUGCUGAUGAGUCCACGGUGGAGCGGGUGCACCGGCACAACAAGCUCGCCACCGCUGCCGCGGCGCUGUCACCGGUGAAUCUUCUCUUGCUUCAGCCGGGGCUGCUGGAGCGCCAUGGCAAGACCCGAACCACCGAAAUGUUUGCCAAGCUCAUCAUGUCGUCUAUCCCAGUCGAGACCUGCGGAGCCGCCAUCGUGUCGGCAUGCAAGAGCUUGCCGAUCCAGCGCAGCGUGCAACGCGCAGAGGCAACCUCUGCAGCCGAGCUGGCGAAGCACGACGAGGUGGAAGGGGCGCAGGUGGAGAAGGAAAGCAGUACCGUGGCGGCUGGCGUAAGAAAGACGCCGCUGGGCAAGCCAUAUGUGGGGGCCAAGGCCCUGCGCAAGGCUGGCAUACCGUCCAACGAGCCGCUGCCGUACAUUUACGAGGCGAACAACGCGGUGAUCACGGACUUGGCAUCCCGGCUGACGGCCUAAAGUGCAGCGUCAGAGAAAGGAAGGGAAAGGAAAGUCGAGAGAGAUGCAACAGUGCAGUGGCAGAGACACGCAGAAAAUCAAACCGAGUAUUCGUCAGCGCACUCUGCCUGCGCUCUCCUUCUUACCAUCCUGGCGACACAUCAUUCGUGAUGCGCGCUGGCGACGCCCACAAUACAAGCCACCUAUAUUACCUCACCUGCCCCUCCCCUCCCCCCAGCACACACACACACACCAUCUUCUCCAAAGACACCCACACAGAAUCGAGAACACCUUCCCAUGCACAUACGCAUGCGCAAGGAUAGUAUCUGCACAUGAUCUCCCUAUAAAUAUAUAUAUAUAUAUAUAUAUAUGUGUGUGUGUGCUCUGUUUACGAGUUGACCUGUUUCAGCGUUGCCGCGGUGUGCUGCGCAGCGCCCUCUCCCACAGCCCUUCUUCCCCUCCCUUUCUCACACUCUCGCUCUCUCGCUGUUGCGCGCGCGUGGUGUUGUUAGCACUCUUCGUACCCACCCGUCCGCGCACGCAGGCAGAUGUGUGCGUGCGCAAACACCUGUGUACGCACACAGACGCAGACGUGGAGAAACAGCGUGAGGUGCAACACACCAGAUCCCCGGUACCCCUCCCACAUUGCGCGUAUCAGGCAUACGCCAUCGGUCCACGUGAUGGCGCACACUUCUUCUCAUUUGCCACUGCCCUACAACCUGCCUCCAGCCCACCUCCCCUCACCGCCCCCUCCUCCUCUGUGAGCUGCACGCAGCUGCACUGUGCGCGCACGAACGUAAGUGCUCUCUGACCGGGCCUUGUGUGCUUGCUGGCUUGAGUUCCUCUCUCCUUGUUGGGGGUCGUGGUUGAUGAGCGCACCCGCGGCCUCCGCCACACCGUUGUCAAGCGCCGACUCUUUCGCUCUCUCUCUUCAUGUGCUAUCGGCAAUUGGUCGCCACUGCUCCCAAAAGCCACUUCUUCACGUCGCUUCGCCCGUGCGAAGACGUCGCACCCGACGAGCGAGGCGCAGUGCGGCCCGUCGUACGGCGCGCUGUUGUAGGCCAAAGAAGCAGGAAGCAUGAUCCCCUCGCCGCAGCGCACACGCACAGUUUUUACACCGCUCCCCAUCCCGUCCCUCUUCCCCUGACAGACCCCCCUCCCCUCACCCCCCACCCCAGCCCGGUCACAGACUCAUACAGACGUACCUCUACCUCGAAACUGCCUUGCCCCUCUCCAUCUUUCCCUACCCCUCUACCGCUUUAACCGUUGCACCGCGUCCUCCCACGCGCCCACCCCCGCCCGCCGCUCAAG